RNAcentral lists this long non-coding RNA (774 nucleotides) under Vigna radiata. Its description in RNAcentral is "long non-coding RNA (VRAD_LNC016692)". The record is from RNAcentral. Lineage: Eukaryota; Viridiplantae; Streptophyta; Magnoliopsida; Fabales; Fabaceae.
UGCUGAUGCAUUUCCAGCUAUUUUCUCUGCACCGAAAGUCACUCCACCGUGAGCUUCCCCUUUCUCUCCUCUAGCUUCCUUCCAGGGAUGGAAGGCUGUCUGAGCUAGAUAUCACAUCCACCGAAAGCUCUUCCUCCACCUAAAUCAACCACUAAAUCCACUGAACCAUGUUUCUUCCGCUGCUAGUUGCAUUUAGUGAGCAUACUUCACCUCUGCUCAUGGAUUCAUCACCCAUUCGGCUGCUUCAAUAUCUCCCAUGGCUGGAACGUACUCUAUCAAGCGGUCUCCCUAAGCCCUAACACUCUUCUUUCACUUUCAAGAGCAUUUUAAAGGGAUUUCCUCACUUUCUCAUUCACCCACUCACCAAAAAUUCAAUUUUCCACCAUUACUUUGUCAAAGUUUGGGGUUUUUGGUUGAGGGAUUUGCAUUGGAGAGGACAUACAUCAUCAAUUAAGAAAUUUUUCUGCAAGCAUUCAUAAUCUUCUCUCAAGUAAGUAUGCAAAUUCAUUAUUUGGGGUUUCUAAUUUGGGAUUUCUAAUUUGGGAUUUGUUGAAGAACAUGUUUAGGAAUAUGAUAGAUUAGGGCUUUUGAUUUCUAUGCAUGAAUUGAUAGAAUAUGAACUGUUUGAACCGAUUGAAUUGCAUUAUUUUUGUAUGGAUUGAUGAUUUUAGCAAAAGAGUGGAGAUUAGGAACAAAUAGGCAAAGAUUUUGAAAAACCCUAGCUUCCAUCGCUGAGCGGUAUGUUUUGGUGUCGAGCGGUGGCGCGGCUUGAGG